AAUCUUUAAAACAUGGCGAACUAUUCCUUCGCCUUUUACUAAAGAAUACCGUGUGCUCGUUACAUUCAGCGGCAUACGCUUAUUCUUGAAAGGCUUUCUUAGUUCUGAGAU
Molecule: small nuclear RNA, 111 nt
Filed under: Nelumbo nucifera (sacred lotus)
Lineage: Eukaryota; Viridiplantae; Streptophyta; Magnoliopsida; Proteales; Nelumbonaceae
Description: U5 spliceosomal RNA
Rfam family: U5 spliceosomal RNA
About the family: U5 RNA is a component of both types of known spliceosome.
Source: Rfam by way of RNAcentral